AGGGCAUCCGAGGGAGCGCACCGCGGGUCAUGCACAUCCGGGAGCCGAGCCCCGGCAGUGUCUGCCGCCAGGAGGGCGGGCGGGAUAACUCUUCAGGCAGGUCACACACACUAGAGGGAACAGAUCUGUUCAACCCUCAAGCCUGGGUCCGGACGCAUCGCCAGGGACUGAGCUCUGGCUUCAGCCCACUUCAGCUAAAAACGUGAAGAAAACAUAACUGGUCAAGACAAGAAGAAUCAAAUAGGGUGGCAGUCACAUCUGGGCCAAAGCCACCUUGAGGAGUCAGAGCCCGUGACCAUCUCCACCUGGUUGGAGCCAGUGAUCAUCUUCAGCAGCUGAUAUCACAAGGAAGAUUUAGGGACCUGGGAGCACUCAGGAGAGUCUUUCCCGGAGACAUGGAGCUUGGGGGCCGAAUGCUCUGGGCCCUCCUGUCUGGCCCCGGGAGGAGGGGAGGCACCAGGGGCUGGGCCUUCAGCUCAUGGCAACCCCAUCUGCCUCUGGCUGGGUCAUUGAAUGCCACAGAGCUGGUCAGCCACUGGACUGCAGUCUUUGAGAAGAGGGGCAUCCCUGAGGCCCAGGCAUCCAGUGAGUACAUCGUGGCUCAUGUCCUUGGAGCCAAAACAUUUCAGAGCCUGAGACCAGUACUUUGGACCCAGCCCCUGACCUCUUGGCAGCUACAAUGCAUCCAGGAGCUGAGUAGCCGCCGAUUGCAAAGGAUGCCUGUGCAGUACAUCCUUGGCGAGUGGGACUUUCAAGGACUCAGUCUGAAGAUGGCCCCCCCAGUGUUCAUCCCUCGCCCGGAAACAGAGGAGCUGGUUGAAUGGGUGCUGGAGGAGGUAGCCCAGAGUCCCUGUACAGUGGGAGCCCAAGGUGGCCCCCUCAUCCUGGAGGUGGGCUGCGGAUCGGGAGCCAUCGCCCUCAGCCUGCUGAGUCAGCUUCCCCAGAGCCGAGUCAUUGCCGUGGAUAAAGGAGAAGCUGCCAUCUGCCUGACCCAGGAGAAUGCUCAAAGGCUUCGGUUGCUGGACAGAAUUCGGAUCGUCCCCCUCGAUGUGACCUUAGAGGGGAGCUGGGCGCACCUCCUGCCCUGGGGCCCCAUGGACCUGGUCGUCAGCAACCCUCCCUACAUCUUCCACCAAGACAUGGAGCAGCUGGCCCCUGAGAUCCGCAGGUGCAGGGUGUGGUGGGAGGGAGGCCGGGCCUGGGAGGGCCUAGUAGGAUGUGUCUGCCCUGGGGGACUACACCAUUGGGAGGUACAGGGAGGGAGAAGGGACUGAAAGGGGCAGCGAUGUUGAAAGAAAGGCUCAUUCUGGAGCCCACAGACCUACUUGGUUCAGCUUCUGCCUUCCCACUGAAGACCACUGGAUAAUCACAGAACCUCUCUGAGCCUGACCUUUGAAAGGGUAGUGGUAGACCUUUGCAGGGCCACGGGGAGGACCUAGCAAUGACUCAUGUAUCAGAUGUGGUAUAGAAUUACAUAGAAGGUGCUCAGAUGGGUACAUCAUUUUACAGAAGAUUGAGGCCCGGAGAGGAAAGAUGCCUGGUCCAAGGUCAUGUGGGGGCUUAACAGGAAAGCGGGGACUAAGACCCUACUCCAGGCUUUGCACUGAACCAUCCUGUUCUCAAACGAUCUGAGAACCAGGGGUAGUCCAGAAGUCCUUGGACAAGGCAGCGGUAAUGUGGGUCAGGGUGCUGGCUCCCCUUUUCCAGGUUUUCAGGAGUGGUUUGGGCCAGCUACAGGCCUCCCCAGACCAAGCAUAGGAGCAGCCUUAUUGUGGGGAGACCCUCAUGCCCUGCUAUAUCCGUCAGUGGGAUUCACUGAGCAGCCCAGCACUGCCUGGUGGGGUGCUACCUGUAGGAGCUAUGAAGACCCACUAGCCCUGGAUGGUGGGGAGGAGGGCAUGGACAUCAUUACCCACAUCUUGGCCCUGGCACCUUGGCUCCUGAAGGACUCUGGGAGCAUUUUCUUAGAAGUGGACCCAAGACACCCAGAGCUUGUUGGCAGCUGGCUUCAGAGCCGGCCUAACCUGUUCCUUGAUCUCGUGGCUGUGCGCAGGGACUUCUGUGGGAGGCCCCGGUUCCUGCAUAUCCGGAAGUCUGGGCGACAGCGUGGCUGCCCCGCAGAUGCCUGGCCAGGGCCCCAGCCUGCCAGAGUGCCUGGCUGAUAGUUCUCCCUGGAGAGCUACUUGGAGGGAGGUGAUGGUACCUUCCAGAACCCAGAUGCUUAUGACAUUUCCCAUGAUUCUGUGAUUCUACAUUUUUUUAUGUUCUAGGAGACUUGGGGGUAGAAGCAAGGGUGGGGAUGUCUUUCCUGGGGUGGCACAGAACAAGGGCAUCCAUAGUUUGGCCCAGAGCUGAGCAGACCCAGGUUCCUGGUCUGGUUCCAUCCCAUCAGCGUUGCCAAGGGCAGGUUGCUCAAUGUCUCUGUGGGUGGAAUUGCCUUGGGGAUGUUGGGAGAUAGGGCCAAUAAAGUGUCGAGAGACCAACAAGUAGUGAUCUAAUGUGAUCACUGUGAUUUGUGGGUCGCCUGACCCCUUGUCCCCAGGCAGUGCUGGGGGUAGGAGCUUCCUCCUACCCCAGCAGGGCUGGCCAUCAGUCUCCUACCUAGUGGGGGUGUGGGAGCAUGGUGUGGAAAAAGGCACAUGGGUGCCCCUCCUGGGCCUUGGAUGCCAGGGGCCUUGGCACUGAGCAGCUCACUCCUGGGGGUUGACUUAGCCCUCCACUGCCCUGGGUGUGCUCUCACACACUUCCCUGACUGGGCCUAGGCUCUGAGCACAGGAAUGUCAUCUGAGCUUCAGCUCAGAGAUGGCUGCCUGCUUGCUGGAGGGGAGUGGGCUGAGGGCCUGCACUGUUCUGGUAUCACACAUCCACGUUUAUUUAAUGGAAGGUUUGUGUCAGUGAGGAGUGAGCAGGGUUUAUGUUUACUUUUUAUUAUCGUAGCUUUUGGUUAAAACAUUCCUUCCAAAUUGA
Non-coding RNA from Leptonychotes weddellii (Weddell seal), 2967 nucleotides. NCBI's taxonomy places the organism in Eukaryota, Metazoa, Chordata, Mammalia, Carnivora, Phocidae. The record is from RefSeq and is a predicted model, not a curated record.